Eleginops maclovinus (Patagonian blennie) is the source of this 6893-nucleotide RNA transcript. It is a transcript of the gene named NK2 homeobox 2a, with no coding region annotated. The transcript has 4 exons. NCBI's taxonomy places the organism in Eukaryota, Metazoa, Chordata, Actinopteri, Perciformes, Eleginopidae. The record is from RefSeq and is a predicted model, not a curated record.
UUAUACAUCAUAUAUUUUGCACUUGGAUGACAGUGGAGGGAAAACCUUCCUGGAGUGAUUACCAGCGUUUUAUAUUGGAAACACAUGUUUUAGUGCAUCAAUUUGAUUAGAAAAGUAGCACAUCUGAAAGUAUCCACCUGUGGAUGAGACUGGAAUGUGCAAAUAUCUGAGUGGCUAUUCUAUAUAAAUAGUUGUAUUGGACAAACUCUAUUUUUCUUCAUUGUUUUCCAUAUCAUCCAGCAGUGUGGACAAGCUGAAGGAGUAGUUUGAGAGCAAUGGGAAAGUUGCUCACUAGUCUUUUUAUAAGGCAGUGUUGGAGCAUCAAACAUGGAGGGGCUCAUGUAAUCGAUACCUCUGUAGAGCCCAGACUAUGGCAUAUCGACUGGAUGCCAGAGACAUGCAUUAUCACAGCAUGUUUUCGGAGUUUCCUGUGCAAGUUUAGAAGGUAUCGUUUAUAUGCUCGCAAAACGCUACUUGUAAAACUUAACAGUCGACCCAAUGGUAACAAGGUGCAGUGUCCUUAUCCCCACCACCUCCACCUCCACCUCCACCUCCACCCCUCUCCUCUGUGUCUGCUGGCCACUUCAACAUCCAGAUCUGGGAGCAGGACACAUGGAAAGCAUCAGGGUUGUGGUGGAAACUGGAUGUCACUUUGUCUGUUGCUGAAGCUGAGUAUAAGUUAUUGUUUAAAUAACUGAUGUUUCUAAUUUCAGUGCCACUGCAGUCUGACUCACUGCACAUUAUUCUGUCUCUCUCCCUCCCUUGCCUGGCAGGACUCCCCUCAUCUGGACAUCAGAGGAACUGCAUGCUUCUAUCAGCACACAAAACCUCUUUGACAUAUAGUACUGUUCUCGGGAUGAGACACGAGUUAAGUCAUCCGAUCGACACCUGACGCCUGCAAAGUGCGACGACCCCCGUCGGAAUGGGAAUCAAUGUUUAUCCUGUUGAAAGCAACCCAAGCCCAACCUGUAAAGAAAUGAUUCCACGGUCAGGUAGCCCCCCUCCUCUACUAAAAAAAGGUUUGUCCACUCCUAUCUGAUCCAGAGGUGGCGAUGUGUAGUUUCUUUGUGCUCCUGCUGGUGAGGUUCUGAGGCUUGGGAGGCAGCAAGCUCAGUUCUUUUAUAGCCACAAGACCCACUCUGAGCUGCAGAACACGCCUAAUGAGGGCGUGCAGUGGUGCCAUGUGAGACAUGCCAGCUUUUACCAGGCUGGGUAAUUGCUUGUGACCUUCACUGAACACGUCUCAUGUGUCUUCAUGUUUUGAGCAAACUUCUAAUUGUUACAUAGUGGGAGAUGCCUGAGGAUAACGCAGAAGCAGACCUAUCCCCUGCUACUGUUUAGUAGAGAUGUGUCUAUUUGGGUCAGUGUUUGUGAAGAUAUUUAUUUGUGGGCCACUUCUCUACCUUUAGCCCGAAUUUCAUAUUAAGGCCACUACAAUGUCUCAAUAAGACAGCCCAUUUGUUUCUGUUUUUUACUGUAUCUAUGACGUAACCACAACAAGUAUGGCUCCGUCAGAAAUGGGUGGUUCCAGUUUGUUUUAAUUUCAUACUGCUGGUCGUCCUUGGGAGUCCACAACAACUUUGUUGUGUGUUGGCUAACCAAUCUGGUUUUCAUUGAAAGUGGAAACUUAUAAGAAAAUACAAAGCACAGUCUUCUCUCUGUUUCAGAUCUGGAAUUUUAAUUUCUGGUAUUGUUCCCACAGGCUGUGAAUUGUUUUAAAAAAAAAUUGAGAUACAAGUCAUACACAUUUUUGAUUUAAUCUGAUGCCUCAUUCAAGAUCAAAUACACAGAUAAAAAAUGAGAUAUACAUUUCAAAUGGUAUUUUCCUUGGGGGAAAAAAGGUUAGUCAUGACACCUCUUCUUUGGAGUCAGUGACAUCUUCCAGGAUGACUCUUUAAACUAAAUGUUAUUCAAAUAAUAUUAUUAUUUUAGUCAGAUCAGGUUUUAGCAUCCAUACCACUGCAGAGUGUCUAUUUGUAUAAGGCAAUGAUAUAAAUAUUCAUCUUCUAAAUUGCAGCAGCUGUUUUUCUAGAAUACUGUAGAUUGACGCACAGUAUAUUCUGUUAGAUUAAACAUAGAGGCUUCUCUUAUCAUGAUGCACCGUAUUAAGAUAAAAGUAUGACCUCUAAAAAUAAGCAGUAACCAUAAACCCAGGAAGAUGACGAUCUGUUCUGGAAAUAGAAAAGAUAACUAACUCCUAAUAAUAGUGAUAAGUACACAGACAUGAUAAGCAUCUGCUAUCAGAAUGGAGUCCAAUGAAAGUUUAAGGUGUUAGCUCUUUAUCAGACAUGGCUUCAAUUCACCAUCUUAAUCUAGAUCAAGUGACCCAAAAGGGAUGGAUCGGAUUUGUAAAUGGUCGUAGAUAUAUUGCUUGGGACAGAUAAAGGAAAAUGUAUAAGGUAAUGUGGUUGUUUAUUUUGUCAGAUUUAUAGAUUCCACUCUGAAUUGUUUCACAUACGUACAAAUAAUUAUAACUUUUCUCUAUGUGGUAUUUUUUCUGGUCUGUAUGUCCAAAGGUAAGCACCAGGGUUACACAGGCAGUAUUUUGUGCCAAGUCAUGAUAAAUUGUGUUAUCAUAUGUUGGCAUAUGCUUUUCUUUACCUUUUCACAUUUCCUGUGCUCAAAUAAACAGAUAUUCCCGAGUGCUGCAGGAUAUUCAUACUGUGUAAAAGGAUGAUGAAGAGCUCCCUCUAUGGUCAUAAACAGAAUAGUCCUGCAUGUUGAAAAAAGUGAAACUUACAUGGGGCCAGAAAGCAAGUCAUCUUUUUGCACUUUCAUGCAUUAGAUACAUUAACAAAUUCUUCUUUGGGGGCAAAGAACCAGCAGGUGUUUCCCCCAGUUUUAGGUGGAACUAUUGUUUGCAAGGAUGCGUCUAUGGGAGGGCAUUACAAAAUGCAUACAAUAGGUUUUGUUCUGUUACAACAGAUAUUGAUUUUUAUAAAAAUAAAAAAAUCAUGGACCAUCUGUUAAGACUCCAUCCUCUCUCUCCAAUCUGUAGAGUGUGACACGCCCACUGACCUCUUCAUGUUUUGCAUUUCAGGUCAAUGAAAACCUCUUGUGGUUCCACCUUGUAUCCAACUUUUAGAGUUCUGAACAACUGUCAUUCUGGUCAAAAUGAUCCCAACAAAUGUAAUGUUGAUGCAUUUUCGAUGCUACUUUCCUAACACAUUUCCUGAAGGUCAAGAAUUUAAAAAAAAUAGUGUUCAUCUCAAGGGAUGGGUGUUGGUUUAAAACGUUUCAGAGGGACACAAAUAGCCAGCAACACCUGCAGUUAUUACAUAAACCUCAUUAAAAAUAAAAACAACCUUUUUUUAAUGGGGUUCACUUUGACCGAGCAACACUACUCAUUUGUUUUGUUACUACAUCAUUAACACUCACGCUCAAAGUCUGUGCAGUGUGUUCAGCCAGAAAGCUGGGCAUUAUUACAUACAGUAAACUUUUUUAUACUCACAUGCUUGGUUGUUGUUUGGAACUUCGCUGGUCUGUUGUCAAUUAAGAAGAGGAACCUUAAUUACUUUUGGAGCACUUCAGACUCCAUCCAAGGCUGCUGCUGAUUCAUGCCUGCCCUACUUGGAAAUGAGCCCAGAGUAAAAAAAAAAACAUGGGGUUGUAUGUGGAAAAUGACAUCAAACUUUUACAUACUUGAUCUGUUCAUGAUUAACUUUUGGCUUGAGUGCAUCUCAUUUCACUCAUUGUGUCUUAUCUGUCUUACUUAGCCUUUGAUUAGUUUCUUUACUCAGAUAAAGCUGUGAGAAGGCUGUAAAAAAAAUAAGCAGUAAUUUCUCAAAUUACCCUCUUGAGCCGUAAAUCCAGUCGUGUGUCCUGAAUUGCAGUGGUGGUGUAAUUCUCUGCUUCUAAGCUUAAGAAUGCCAGAUCCAUAAUGGAAAAGUCUGCAAAGAGACAUUCAAGGCCUUCUAUUGGAGGCAGUGUGAUAUCGUUUUCCGCCAAACCAGAAAUCAAGGCCUGGGAAGAGCCUUUUUUAUGUCAGGGAUAGGGGUAGUGUAUGUUUUCUGACAGUUGCUCCUUUUAAGAUUAAUAGUCUUAUGAAAACCGUGUGUCUUCUUCCAAAAGCCAAGCUAGAUAUCAGUCAAUGUUACCAGCAUAAUGCCAUCCUGACAAUCCCAAAGACAGAUUGAACAUUGUCACAACACAGGGGUGUGUGUGUGAGUGUGUGUGUGUGUGUGUGUGUGUGUGUGUGUGUGUGUGUGUGUGUGUGUGUGUGUGUGUGUGUGUGUGUGUGUGUGUGUGUGUGUGUGUGUGUGUGUGUGUGUGUGUGUGUGUGUGUGUGUGUGUGUGUGUGUGUGUGUGUGUGUGUGUGUGUGGGUUAGGGUUAGGGUUAGUGCGAGAUGGCUGGUAGCCAUACUGGAAUUUAUUCCUUACUUCUGGGAUGAAACACAUGCCAACUAACUAAUGCCUCUUUUUACACAAAGAUUUUUAUAUUUACGAUGCAGCAAAUUAUACUGUGUUAAACAAAGCUAAAAUCUAUGGAUGAACUAUUAAGGCAGAAAACCACACAAUCUACAGGCUACGUCUCCUGGAAUAUGUAGAGGAGCAGGCAUCUAUCCUUGUGCUCUAUCAGUUCACUGACCUCACUGAACCACAGCCAAAUGCUCAUAAAUACAUUCCCUUAUUUCUACGAUGGUGUGGAUGCCAGUCGGGCCGGGAAGUGGGUUUGUUUUGGGUGUUCUCAGUAUAUUCAAGCCAGAGCUGCGCUUUCACUUUUCUCACAAGAGAGCUGUGCUGUCUUCCUGUAUUCCUGCUUGUGGUCGUCUGUCAUGGUGGCGAGCCUGUUGAAAGCUGCACAACUCAGGUCCAGUGUCUGCAUAAUGGAGACUUGUUUGUCCCGACACACGUGGAUUAAUCAAGUGGACGUCUCUCCGGCGUGAAUUGUAGUGCGGCACUGUGCGAGUCCACAUUCAGGAGUGAAAACGUGCAAACUGACUCCAGGCUCUGGGUAAGAGAGCAGUUAAAGCUGCAUCCACCGAUGUCAGAAACGCAACCCACAUGAUUAUUUUUCGGUCACAUCUGGACACAUUGCCUUUCAGCUUUUCCAAAUAUGCAUGUGUGUUUUACAGUUUGCAGACAUUUCAGGAAUCCUCCAUGUCUCUCAUCAGCUUUCCAUAUUUGUAGAGAAUAAGCAUAAAAGCUAAUUAUGUAGCAUUAACAAAUUAACUCUGUUGGGUACAAAUCAGGCUUAGAGUGCGAGAUGGAGAUCUCUUCAACCUGCAGCGGAGGAAUGAGGGACCUCAGCUCACUCAUACUGGUGGUGAAAAGUCUGACAUGUUUGCGCUGAGUAGGGACAGACAGGCCUGCAACCAAGCCUGGACUUGCUGGCCAAGAAAAAGCCCCUCAUAACUCCCCCAUUUUCCUUAGCGUGCCCUUUCCUGAAUGAAUGCACCGCCUUACCCUGCACACUCAGUCACUGGGUUUACAAUAAUGAGCGAGUGUGUUAAAGUAAGUUGCUACUGUUUGUUCAUCAACUUUAACAGUUCGUUGUUUGUUCCUGUCUUUAGUAAGAUGACUGUGAAUGUGAAGUUGGUAUGUGUGAAUAGAAAGCAGCUGGCAGAAAAUGCAUUGUGGGAACAAUUGAGAGAUGAAAGCAGUGGGAGAGAGAGCAGGCGAGGUAAACUGGGGUCAAAUUAAAAGCACAUGACAAUACGGUGCUGUAUGUGUGAUGAUACUGAGAGACUGGACUUAUAAUAAAACAAGCAACAUGAUCAACUGCAAUAUAUGAUGUUGUGUCUAUGUUGUUGUGAGUGGUUUUCUUAAGCACAGCCCAGGAAAUGUAUUCUAUUUACAGUGCUGGAAGAAGUAUAGAAGAAGUAUCUCAAAAUUGUACAUAAGUAAACCAUUAGUUGUUGUCCUAGGGGUUGGGCCCCCUUGAAAUAGUCAGAAGAUAACCCUAACCCUAAUCCAUGAGGUGUUUAAAGGGGUAUGAAAGACUAAAACACACAAAGUUCUGGUACUUAAAUGUGUUUAAGUUUUGCUUUUGCUUCAAGACAUAUUGGAUAUAUUUUGCCUCUUUCGACACAGGACAGCUUUGAAUUAAAACCAUGUGAUUCAUGCUAUCCAUUCAAAUAUCAGAAAUAACAAACAUUUAUGGCUUCAAAUUCUUUGUUCUGUCCCACCUUCAUUCCUCAAAAAGUGUUCCAUUAGUGAUGUAAAAAUGAGAAAAGCUGCACAUCCUGACAUUUUAUGAGAAAAAGUUUUUUUUGCUCGAUAAUUGAUUUCACUGAGUUAUAGUAAGUGUUGUUCUUCCACUACUCUCAUUUAUACAUCCACUUAUUGCUAACACUAAAUACUGAAUCCACAGGGACAGCACAUGCGUCAGUUGUAUUUGGACUGGUAAAAGUUGAUUAUGACUAUUUAAAUGUUAUGUACUAUUUAAUGUGUUAUUUUACAUCAUGUCAAAUCAAAUAUUAAUUUUAAAAAACAUCAUCCUCGAGAACCGACACUGAAAACUGUAAACUGUUUGUGACUGCACUCGUAAAAAUCUGUGGUUAAAGUUACAAGCGGAAUCAAGACUCAUGUCAGAUAUUGUUGCCAUCGGUUUUAUUAAUGAUGGUAUGUGGUGGAGCCCACAUGUCAUGAUGUUAUUUGUUGGAACAGCUUUGGGAAAUGGGAAAUGACAAACCAUGAUUGCUCAAUGUCAGUGUUGAUGGAACCAUAUUUGAACUGUAUACACCCUUAUUACAACUAAUUAUGGGUUGAGUCGAAGGUGUCAGUGAGUUUUGCAAAGAACUCCCAGUGUUAUGUGGUGUCAAGGAGAGACCUUCAUCAGGUGCAAUUAGAGGACAUUCUGAGCCUAAGCUGAAAUGUCUCUGCCACCACCUUGCUACAGAUGUCCUUUCAUUAACUCAUUAAACUGAGGACCAUUUGUCCAAUUUGAUGAA